This 501-nucleotide ribosomal RNA is filed under the name uncultured bacterium. Its description in RNAcentral is "partial 16S ribosomal RNA". It matches the Rfam family "Bacterial small subunit ribosomal RNA", at positions 28 to 507 of the family's 1533-position model. The record is from RNAcentral.
GACGAACGCUGGCGGCGUGCUUAACACAUGCAAGUCGAACGGUGAAGGGGUCUGCUUUUGUGGGCCCUGGAUGAGUGGCGAACGGGUGAGUAACACGUGAGUAACCUGCCCCCUUCUUCUGGAUAACCGCAUGAAAGUGUGGCUAAUACGGGAUAUUCUGGGUCUGUCGCAUGCUGGGUCUGGGAAAGCUUGCGCCUUUGGGUGUUUUUGGUGGGGGAUGGGCUCGCGGCCUAUCAGCUUGUGGGGGGGGUGAUGGCCUACCAAGGCGGUGACGGGUAGCCGGCGGGGGAGGGGGGACGGUCACACGGGGACUGGGACCCGGCCCGGACGCCAGGGGGAGGCGGGGGAGGGGAAACUUGGCCAAGGGGCGGAAGCCUGAGGCAGCGCCGCGGGGGGGGGGAUGGGGGCUUUCGGGUGUAAAACUUUUUUCGCAGGAAAGGAGGGCCUGCUCCUUGGGGGGGGGUGACGGGUACCGGAGAAAAAGGGCCGGGUAAAUUCGUG